This 473-nucleotide ribosomal RNA is filed under the name uncultured organism. RNAcentral's name for it is "partial 16S ribosomal RNA". It matches the Rfam family "Bacterial small subunit ribosomal RNA", at positions 330 to 799 of the family's 1533-position model. The record is from RNAcentral.
CGUACACUCCUACGGGAGGCAGCAGUGAGGAAUAUUGGACAAUGGGUGGAAGCCUGAUCCAGCCAUCCCGCGUGCAGGAAGACGGCCCUAUGGGUUGUAAACUGCUUUUAUCUGGGGAUAAACCUACUUACGUGUAAGUAGCUGAAGGUACCAGAAGAAUAAGCACCGGCUAACUCCGUGCCAGCAGCCGCGGUAAUACGGAGGGUGCAAGCGUUAUCCGGAUUUAUUGGGUUUAAAGGGUCCGUAGGCGGACUGAUAAGUCAGUGGUGAAAUCCGACAGCUUAACUGUCGAACUGCCAUUGAUACUGUUAGUCUUGAGUAAGGUUGAAGUGGCUGGAAUAAGUAGUGUAGCGGUGAAAUGCAUAGAUAUUACUUAGAACACCAAUUGCGAAGGCAGGUCACUAAGUCUUAACUGACGCUGAUGGACGAAAGCGUGGGGAGCGAACAGGAUUAGAAACCCCUGUAGUCCCAUG